Molecule: ribosomal RNA, 468 nt
Filed under: uncultured bacterium
Lineage: Bacteria
Description: partial 16S ribosomal RNA
Rfam family: Bacterial small subunit ribosomal RNA
Source: RNAcentral
GACGAACGCUGGCGGCGUGCUUAACACAUGCAAGUCGAACGGAUAGGCUCUGCUUUUGGUGGCUGACCGAGUGGUGAACGGGGGGGUAACACGCGAGUAACCUGCCUUUGAGCUUGGGAUAACUGCUGGUACCUGGGGCUAAUACCGGAUAGAAGCUCUUUCUGCUUGGGGUGGGUCGGAGAUUUUCGGCGUAUGGGGAUGGAAUCGCGGCUACUCAGCCUGGUGGUGGGGUCGUGGCUUACCAAAUCAUUGGCGCGUAGCCGGCCUGAGAGGGUGACCGGCCACAUUGGAACGGAGAUACGACACAGACUACUACGGGAGGCGGCAGUGGAGAAUAUAGCACAAGGCAAGGAAGCCUGAUGCAGCCAAGCCGCGUGCGGGAUGACGGCAUGCGGGUAGUAAACCGAUUUCGCCUGUGACGAAGCGUGAGUGACGGUAAUGGGUAAAGAAGCACCGGCUAACUACGUG